This 437-nucleotide ribosomal RNA is filed under the name Wolbachia pipientis. RNAcentral's name for it is "bacterial SSU rRNA". It matches the Rfam family "Bacterial small subunit ribosomal RNA", at positions 992 to 1428 of the family's 1533-position model. Lineage: Bacteria; Pseudomonadati; Pseudomonadota; Alphaproteobacteria; Rickettsiales; Anaplasmataceae. The record is from RNAcentral.
CAUACCUAUUCGAAGGGAUAGGGUCGGUUUGGCCGGAUUUCACACAGGUGUUGCAUGGCUGUCGUCAGCUCGUGUCGUGAGAUGUUGGGUUAAGUCCCGCAACGAGCGCAACCCUCAUCCUUAGUUACCAUCAGGUUAUGCUGGGGACUUUAAGGAAACUGCCAGUGAUAAACUGGAGGAAGGUGGGGAUGAUGUCAAGUCAUCAUGGCCCUUAUGGAGUGGGCUACACACGUGCUACAAUGGUGAUUACAAUGGGCUGCAAGGUCGCAAGGCUGAGCUAAUCCUAAAAAAUCAUCUCAGUUCGGAUUGGUCUCUGCAACUCGAGAGCAUGAAGUUGGAAUCCCUAGUAAUCGUGGAUCAACAUGCCACGGUGAAUACCUUCUCGGGUCUUGGACACACUGCCCGUCACGCCCUGGGAAUUGGUUUCACUCCAAGCU